GGGUUCAACCCGUACUGUAUUUAAAUAAUAUACGGGUCCGGUAUUAAUUUUUUAAAACCCGGACAUAUCCGGGUCCGGUUUCGGGUUCAGCUGAACCCGUAUAUCCGGAACCCGGACCCGGAUAUAUUUAUAUUUAAUAUAAAUAUUAAAAAAAUCUAUGGAAAAAGAACAAAACCCUAGUUUGCACUUUUGGCUUUUAACUCAACAUGGCCGCCACCAUUUCAUCUCUUUUUCAUCUCCCAAAUUCAUCAAUUCACAGCCACCACCAUUUCCUCUCCUUUUCAUCUCCCCAACUCACCAAUUUAAAUCAUCAUCAUCAAAUCCGCCACGAUUUCAUCUCUUUUUCAUCUCCCAAAAAUUCAUUAAUUCACAACCACCACCAUUUCCUCUCCUUUUCAUCUCCCAAACUCACCAAUUUAAAUCAUCAUCAUCAAAUCGUCAUCAAUCAUCUUCAUCAUCAAAUCGUUAUCAAUCAUCAUCAAAGGCUUGAAUUCUCAGUAGCUCCUAAACUCAUUCACGGUCACGGCUGGCGGCAGAAUAUCACGCACACAAAGUGACGAAUUGGGAUUCAUGGACGUAGACGAAGCAAUCACCAACUGUACAAAUUUACUGGAUUUUCAUUCCCUGUCGCCAUUUGUGUUCUAUUUUGCUAUUAGUUUAGCUUUUGUUUGAUGAUGACAAGCCGACAAUCACAAAAUUUGGGUCUUGUUUUGCACGUUUGCUUCAUUGUUUUGUUAUAGUCUUUAAUCAAUUUCUUCUGUUUGAUUUAAAUAUUAUUCCUAUUUUGAC
RNAcentral lists this long non-coding RNA (789 nucleotides) under Citrus maxima (pomelo). RNAcentral describes it as "long non-coding RNA (CMAX_LNC000179)". The record is from RNAcentral. Lineage: Eukaryota; Viridiplantae; Streptophyta; Magnoliopsida; Sapindales; Rutaceae.